This 244-nucleotide ribosomal RNA is filed under the name uncultured Staphylococcus sp. Its description in RNAcentral is "partial 16S ribosomal RNA". It matches the Rfam family "Bacterial small subunit ribosomal RNA", at positions 96 to 334 of the family's 1533-position model. The record is from RNAcentral. Lineage: Bacteria; Bacillati; Bacillota; Bacilli; Caryophanales; Staphylococcaceae.
CGGCGGACGGGUGAGUAACACGUGGAUAACCUACCUAUAAGACUGGGAUAACUUCGGGAAACCGGAGCUAAUACCGGAUAAUAUUUUGAACCGCAUGGUUCAAAAGUGAAAGACGGUCUUGCUGUCACUUAUAGAUGGAUCCGCGCUGCAUUAGCUAGUUGGUAAGGUAACGGCUUACCAAGGCAACGAUGCAUAGCCGACCUGAGAGGGUGAUCGGCCACACUUGAACUGAGACACGGUCCAG